CAUCUAAUCGCUUGAUCUACUGGGCGCGUCACUCAUCACGAUAUUAUGUUACUGAUAUUUCACAAAAUAUCGAUACGACUGUAUUGUAAAUCACAGAAGCACGUGAAAAUAUCGUUAAGGCAGAUACUACAAAUCAUCUCUAGAACGAAAUUUCUAAAGUAGCGGUACUUUUAAAGCUUUAUUUAAAAUGGACGAAUUUCAAUAUGGCACCUGUCCUUACAACAAGGAGCAUCGCAUUGUGCUAUAUAAAAUGCCUGGGCACAUAAUUAAAUGCGCACGCAAUUACAAAGGACCUCCACUUGCAAUUUGCAAAUAUAAUGCAACUCAUCGUUUGCUGGAAGAGGAAAUGGAGGAGCAUUUGUCAGAAUGUGCAGAUAAUCAUAAGCAUCAUGAGGAAAUUGCAUUACAAGCGCUUAAAUCCCCACCACAUUACUAAUAUUCAUUUGUAAAAUAAAAGCCUUUGUUCCUUACCGAAAGUCAA
Long non-coding RNA from Drosophila nasuta, 481 nucleotides. RefSeq lists it as uncharacterized. The record is from RefSeq and is a predicted model, not a curated record. The transcript is spliced from 2 exons. Lineage: Eukaryota; Metazoa; Arthropoda; Insecta; Diptera; Drosophilidae.